RNAcentral lists this ribosomal RNA (467 nucleotides) under uncultured bacterium. RNAcentral's name for it is "partial 16S ribosomal RNA". It matches the Rfam family "Bacterial small subunit ribosomal RNA", at positions 29 to 507 of the family's 1533-position model. The record is from RNAcentral.
ACGCACGCUGGCGGCGUGCUUAACCCAUGCCAGUCGAACGGAAAGGCCCUGCUUUUGUGGGGUGCUCGAGUGGCGAACGGGUGAGUAACACGUGAGUAACCUGCCCUUGACUUUGGGAUAACUUCAGGAAACUGGGGCUAAUACCGGAUAGGAGCUCCUGCUGCAUGGUGGGGGUUGGAAAGUUUCGGUGGUUGGGGAUGGACUCGCGGCUUAUCAGCUUGUUGGUGGGGUAGUGGCUUACCAAGGCUUUGACGGGUAGCCGGCCUGAGAGGGUGACCGGCCACAUUGGGACUGAGAUACGGCCCAGACUCCUACGGGAGGCAGCAGUGGGGAAUAUUGCACAAUGGGCGGAAGCCUGAUGCAGCAACGCCGCGUGCGGGAUGACGGCCUUCGGGUUGUAAACCGCUUUCGCCUGUGACGAAGCGUGAGUGACGGUAAUGGGUAAAGAAGCACCGGCUAACUACGUG